Molecule: ribosomal RNA, 468 nt
Filed under: uncultured bacterium
Lineage: Bacteria
Description: partial 16S ribosomal RNA
Rfam family: Bacterial small subunit ribosomal RNA
Source: RNAcentral
GACGAACGCUGGCGGCGUGCUUAACACAUGCAAGUCGAACGGAAAGGCCCUGCUUUUGUGGGGUGCUCGAGUGGCGAACGGGUGAGUAACACGUGAGUAACCUGCCCUUGACUUUGGGAUAACUUCAGGGAACUGGGGCUAAUACCGGAUAGGAGCUCCUGCUGCAUGGUGGGGGUUGGAAAGUUUCGGCGGUUGGGGAUGGACUCGCGGCUUAUCAGCUUGGUGGUGGGGUAGUGGCUUACCAAGGCUUUGACGGGUAGCCGGCCUGAGAGGGUGACCGGCCACAUUGGGACUGAGAUACGGCCCAGACUCCUACGGGAGGCAGCAGUGGGGAAUAUUGCACAAUGGGCGGAAGCCUGAUGCAGCAACGCCGCGUGCGGGAUGACGGCCUUCGGGUUGUAAACCGCUUUCGCCUGUGACGAAGCGUGAGUGACGGUAAUGGGUAAAGAAGCACCGGCUAACUACGUG